Molecule: long non-coding RNA, 6095 nt
Organism: Cyprinus carpio carpio
Lineage: Eukaryota; Metazoa; Chordata; Actinopteri; Cypriniformes; Cyprinidae
Source: Ensembl
UCUCUAAUCAUUCUUCCGUUUCGAACGAAAUUUUCAAUUUGUCUGUAUACUACAUGUCACAUGGAGCCAUAUUCGGACUUCUCUUCUAAGACAAAGAACAUCUGCAUGUAGGUUAAUCAUUCUACAUGCGUUCAGUCUUAAAUACUCGACACGUGUAAAUAAACAACGGCAUUAUGAUUUCAGAGGUCUCGAAAUGUAAAUGUGUCACUUUUCAUUUUAAUAUGGGCUAUUUCAUAAAUAAAAGUGACUAAAGUCAGGUGUGUGAGAUUCUGUUUGAGAUCAGCACCACUCAGCAUCAAACAAAACCUUUCUUAUAUAUUUAUUUUAAAGGAUUUCAAUGAUGAUAAUUAUGCAAUGAUCAAUUAAACUGUUGCAUUAAAACAAAAAUACCCUGAGAAAAGAAAUUAAUAAAUAUUAUUGUGAACACUGAUCGUUUAAGUCUCAGUUAACUUGGCUUUUGAUUUUUAAGAAUUGCCGAGGACCCUUUCAAUUAAAUAUAUAAUUAUAACUGAAUUUAUUUCAUAUUAUUCUUUAUACCUGCCUCCACUGUCCUAAUAACUUGACUUUAGCAGAUGUCCCAAUUGUUCUGAUGACAAACAUGGCUGCUAUCAUAUGCCACGCCCACCACUCAAUAAUCCUUAAAAUACUACCUAAAUUUGACCCACAAGUCGCAAUAUUUAAUUUUUUUGACAAGACUACCUAUUACAGAAGAUAUUUACAAUGUGCCAUGGCAUGUAAAACUUCAUUUGAGCCUUCAGUCUCACUGCAAAGUUGAAAUAGUGCUUCUAAGUGAGACUCCAACCACCAACACCAAAAGGAUGAUAAAAUGUUAAAAAUAUAUAUUUGGUGGAUGUCAAAAUGUGAAAUAACACAACUUUCUAUUAAAAGAGAUGUUGUUAUAUGCACUGUAAUAGCGAAUAUCACUCAGAAAUAAGUCUUUUUACGAAGCCUUUGAAUAUUCAAAUUGAAAGUAUCGCGCAAUCAAAUCAUUGUCAAAUCAUUGAGUUCUUGGGGUUUUAAAUAGUAGGGAUGAGGGCAGAAAAACUCAAACUAAAAUAUCCCUAGCUAUAUUACUGUAUAAUUGUAUGUCCUGAGAGUGUUUUGAGGUUACUUUAUUGAGACUUUUUAAGACUUUUGUGAAUAAUUCGUUCUUGCCCAUAUAACAGAGCAAAGAACUGAAGUUGGGGUAUUUUACUGUAGCUCUGCCAGAGAUUUCCUCCUUUUCAGACCAAUAUGUCUGGUAAGUAAAAAUUUAUUUUUCUUUCAUGUAAGAUGUUUUCUUCUUCAGCAACCUGAAAAACAUUGAGAGAGAAAAAAUGUAUUAAUUAAAACAAUUAAACACAUUGGUAAACAUUUCUUGGAAUUGUACAGGUCAAAACUUAAGUCUUACUAAUAUUUUAAAACAGCAAACAUAUGAAGGAUUACGUUUAAACAAAUUGGUGCAUUUUUAUGUAUACAGUUAAUUGAAUAGAUGUGCUACAUUAAAUGUAUUUCUUGCAGUUUAAUGGGAAUAAUGGGCUAAUAUUUCUAGUGAUUAAUUCAAGUUCAAGCUUUAUUCAUAGCUUGAAUUAUCUGUCUGCUUUGUAUUUUUUGCUCAGCUUUUCUUCAAGCAAAACUGAACAUGGAUUUAUCUGAAGAUUUAUUCACUGUGUUAUAUUUUAAACAUGAACUGAAUGCAAUGCUUUUCCUGAAUAACCAGCAGUAGGCUGAACGAUGACUGAAUAUAAUUUCGACAUUUUAACCAGAAUCCAAACUUUGCUUCAGAGCGCAUAUGAAUACUUCUUAAAAUAGCUAGGUUUAGCUGUCAAUAAGCUCAUCAAAACACUGCCGAGGGACGUUUUUGCAGUUUUCUCAAGCUCAGCGUAGCCAACAUUUUGCCCUCUGUAAACUCAACUGCCUCCAUGAACUCAGCCAUGGCGUGGCGUUGUUUUGAAUCACUUAUGUUCAGACAGAAUUUUUAUAUAUACUAGCUAUAUUAACGCGGAUCAGGAAGACGUCCCACUGUGUAUGUCUUCACGGGGCUGAACAACCAAUUAAAAAAUUAGGAAAGAAGGACAACUAUUUUCCAUCUUCCAUUUCCAUUUUUUACACAUUUCAUUUUGGGGGAAGUUAUUAGGCGCGGCUUCACUCAUAUAGGAAGAGAUAAGAGGACUGCCCAUUAACAAUAUCAAGAAAUAGCCUAACUUCACAUUUACCGAGCGGAUAGCAAAAACUAACUUGGACCCCGGACGUUUUUAGGGAAUUUAAAACAACUGCUGCUUAUCGACAGCGCCCUCGUAAACAAAUUGGGCGUCGGUCCAGCAAAUCUAAACGGGUUUUCUGUUGGACACCGGCUUGAGUUAACCAUCUAUUUUUCAAUGUACAUUCUUUGUUCUCAUGUAUGCGGCUUUUACUGUAAUAAGAGGGUUUACUUACGGCUGUCAUUCGUAGAGGCGUCUACAGAGGAAGCUUCUCUUUCUCCUCGUCUCGCAAGCAGAGGUUUACAGUGUUUUCACUUCGCUCCCACGAACCCAACUUUGUGCGCCUUUGUGCUCUCGAGUAAAACUGUCAAUAAUUAGGCUAGAUUAGGCUACUCGCCAGUUUAGUCGGGUUUUAAUGUACAGCUACAAGAAACUACACUGCUCGAACUCCAAAUUAAAACCGUCGUCCCGAGGCAAAGAUGGCUGGAGAGCAUGUUUCUCGAAAUUCUCUACAGUCUAUUGUAAUCCGAAACUAACCCAUUCACUGCCGGACUGUGCGCUCAGACAAAUGCAGUCUUAACUGGGAAGACGGGCAUAGUUUUUAAUCUUGUGUGAUAUCUUAUCUUAUAGCUACUUAUUGGCGUUUUUUCAAUGGCAUAUGGAAAAAAGCAAAUGCUAUCUGUGGAUGGUGAAACAUGUAGAGGGGCAGUGACAAGGAUGUCAAAGAUUAUAAAUAGGAGAAAUAUUCUAAAGAUCUACUAAAUAGAUGUGCCAAGGACUUGAUGUGGCUUCAUUCAUUUUCAUUAAAAACAUACAUACAUACAUACAUACAUACAUACAUACAUAUAUAUAUAUAUAUAUAUAUAUAUAUAUAUAUAUAUAUAUAUAUAUAUAUAUAUAUAUAUAUAUAUAUAUAUAUAUAUAUAAUAUUUUCGUUUUAUGACUCUAAAAUAACAAGUGGUGUAAUGCAUUAAGUAAAAAGUGGCAAAAUAUUACUUUCCUUGCAACUUCAUUUUGACAACCAGAUCGUUUUUUUUUUUUCACAAGUUUUAAACACAUUUUACACAACGUAAAACAACUAAAUUGUUUCCCACACAGACAUUCAUUUUCCCCCAAUAAAAAUAUUUAAUUUAUAUAUAUGUACUCUAUAUCAAAAUUUAGAUAAUGAAUGCAUGUUCUUCAUAGAAGAGAUUUAUUCAGUUCUUGUGUUUUAUUGACAUAUCAGAUCCAAGCAAAAGUCACUUCACUGACCCAGAAAUAUUGUCUUAAAUAAAAGAUGAAUGUAAAAACUCUGAUAUCAAUAGGCUACGUUAACAUUUUCCUUUAUGCAAAAUAAAAAUAGUGUUUUGUUUUGUUUUUUUCUGCACAGACUGCUUUACAGAUAAUCUGAAUUUGGACAAAAAUAUUUAAAAUUAAUGCCAGUGGUGAAUGAAAAUGAAAUAAAACUUUCUGGCUUUUUUUUUAUUCUAGCAGAUAAGCCCAAGGUGUACCAGGGUGUGCGUGUGAAGACCACUGUUAAGGAGUUACUGCAGAAGCACAGAGCCCUGCAGGCACAGAAAACCGCAACGGUAAACAAUGGUGUUGAAUACCAAUAAAGCUCAUAAGUCAGACACUACUGACGUAUAAGUUUAUGGUAGCCAAACUAAAACGAAGCCUGGUCAGUGCAAUACCAAAUUUAAUCACCAAGCAUAUGUCUUAAAGCACCACGCCCCCUCAGGCCUAUCUGUGCUCGAGGUUUCAGUCGAUACCACAUAACUGUACAAACUAACUGUUUUUCAACUGAACGAAAGCAGUAAUGAAUAUUUUCCCUUGCUUCUCUCUCUCUUUUACAAUUGCAAUCCUACAGAAAUCACAAGCCAUGGCUGCUCGCGAUGUCUGCUCUACGACCAUGAAUACCCACCUUGAUGUCUUUGGAAUGCAAGCUCCAGAGCCCUAUUUCCAGACACGUCCCUUUACCGAAAAUGUCAAUAUCCCGAUGGAGAAUGCUUAUGAUCAUCAACAAAUGAUGCACCUGAUGCCACAUGAGACUUUCAGCGGCAGUAAUUUCGUGUGUCCCACUUCUUCGCAGUGGUCUAAUGGAUAUAUUCCUUCUAACACGGACCUCUAUGGUACUAGCCUGGUAUCGAGAUCACCCUCUGAUACUUUCAAUCUCCCAAGUCCAGUCGACUACAACAGUUACUCUCCCCCUCAGUCCAACUCUUCAUCUUCUUCGUGCUACAGCUCUCCAACGCGGAUGGAUUUGAGCUCUAGUUUCUCUCCAGAAAAUUACCACUAUCAGCAUUGCAACCUACAGAAUUGCUUUUGUCUUUCGCAUUGGUCCAAUCUGCAGGAAGGCAUGGCAACCUCGGAGUUUGCGCCCUACGGCUCUUCAGACUGUUUGUAUUCAUAUGGCGACGACAGUUAUUUCAGAAGGGAUACUUCAAACUCAGAGAUGUGUUUCUUAUAAAAUGCAUUUUGAAGCUCUUUGCGCGAAAAUUCAGUGUCAUAAUUGAUUUAUUUGAAUGCAUUUGUUGUAUUUUAGAUUAGAUAAAAGAACAAGCAGUGAUAGAAUGCAUGAUUUACAAAUUAUUCAUUUAUCUUUUCUACAAUAAACAUAUUUUUUUCGUAAUUAUACUGGCAUUGGGGAAAUAUUUCAGAUUUACAGCGUGCAGUUUCUGUUUUCACUCUUGAAAUGUACAUCGGAGCUUCGAUAGUUUUUUUUUUUUUUACGUACAAAUACAGCUGUGGUACUGAGGGCUCAUUUAUUGUUUUGUAUAUCAACAUUCGACAUUAUGAAAAAUACCAGAAGAAAGCUUAACAAUGUGUUAUUUAUAAAAACAGAUUUUGUCCUGUAACUACAGCUGUUAACAUUUUUAUUUGCUCCUAACAAAUACACUGUAAAUGUCAACUCACACCGAAAACAUAAGUUUAAUCGUCUUCAUUAUUGUAAAGUAAAAACAAAGCAUGCAUUGCACUUUUUCAACCACUUUACUGAUUAAAUAUAAAGCUCACAAAAUUAGUUCAUUUGCAGAAGUUGUUUCUUAUAAGAAUAUUUGAUGAUUUAAGAUUUAUCUCACACCACAAACUGAUCAUGGAACAAGAAGUCAUUUUCACACACUUUCACCAAAAGAUAAAAUGGAAUGAAAGUCGCAGCCCCGUUUACUGAAGUUCAGAAGAAGCUAAAUUAAAAAAAAGACAACAUGAAUCCCACAAACUGCAUUUAAUGUAGCGAUAUCUCAAGAGCUUAACAAUUCCACAUGUAUAAAAUGGUAAACUGCUCAGGGACAAUCGUAUCAUAUAUAAAACAUGAUUUCUAAACGAUAAGCAGUAUAGGGCCUAUACACACUCAAAGGCUAUUCACUUUAAGUUUUCCAAAAAUAUAAAAUAGAAAUCAAUUCAUGCUUGGAUAUCUGUUUUUAAACAUGUCGAGACAUCAAUAUGUGUCUUUAACUUUGGAACAUGGCACGACUUAAUCAGUAAACGGUCACGCAAUGGUGUAUUCAUUAACUAUAGAAAUCGGGAAUGUUUUGCAGUCAAACAGAAGGGUGUGUACAGUGAUCCAGAAUUGGCAGACGCACACGCUUUGUACCCGCUGCUCACCAACUUGGAAUUCCCCUCGGGAAAGCAAAGGACAAGGAAGUCUUCCUUUAGCCACACGUUGACUUCUUUUUUACUUGAACUGCUUUCCCUCCCACUUCUGCACAACGUGAUGUCUGAUCGCGGAACUGAUCCCAGCACACACGUCUUCGUCUGACAAAAUAAAUAAAUAAAAUAAUAACAAACAAGGUUAUUGUUAUUUUUCUCAUAGAGUGCAGUCCAGCAAUAUAAUUUCCAUCAGACUUUAAGCACGCGGAUGGACUAGUCCGGGAAGCUCCAGUUCAAACUGGUUACGUUUUUGUAGGGAAACGAAAAGGAUUUCUGACUUUUUCACCUCAG